RNAcentral lists this ribosomal RNA (468 nucleotides) under uncultured bacterium. Its description in RNAcentral is "partial 16S ribosomal RNA". It matches the Rfam family "Bacterial small subunit ribosomal RNA", at positions 28 to 507 of the family's 1533-position model. The record is from RNAcentral.
GACGAACGCUGGCGGCGUGCUUAACACAUGCAAGUCGAACGGAAAGGCCCUGCUUUUGUGGGGUGCUCGAGUGGCGAACGGGUGAGUAACACGUGAGUAACCUGCCCUUGACUUUGGGAUAACUUCAGGAAACUGGGGCUAAUACCGGAUAGGAGCUCCUGCUGCAUGGUGGGGGUUGGAAAGUCUCGGCGGUUGGAGAUGGACUCGCGGCUUAUCAGCUUGUUGGUGGGGUAGUGGCUUACCAAGGCUUUGACGGGUAGCCGGCCUGAGAGGGUGACCGGCCACAUUGGGGCUGAGAUACGGCCCAGACUCCUACGGGAGGCAGCAGUGGGGAAUAUUGCACAAUGGGCGGAAGCCUGAUGCAGCAACGCCGCGUGCGGGAUGACGGCCUUCGGGUUGUAAACCGCUUUCGCCUGUGACGAAGCGUGAGUGACGGUAAUGGGUAAAGAAGCACCGGCUAACUACGUG